GAAGUAAAAAGUUCGUAACAAGGUCUCCGUUGGUGAACCAGCGGAGGGAUCAUUACCGAGUCUUCGUACUCAAAACAACCCUUCUGUGGACCUGAAUAAAACCGUUGCCUCGGCAGGCGGCCCUACCUACGGGCCAGAUAGUUCGGCUGCCUCCAGGGAGGAAACCCUCCCUGAGGUGCUGGCGCCAGCCGCUGGCCCCAAACCAAAACUCUAGUAACUUUUACCUUCUGAGUUUUAAUGCAAGAAAUAAGUCAAAACUUUCAACAACGGAUCUCUUGGCUCUGGCAUCGAUGAAGAACGCAGCGAAAUGCGAUAAGUAAUGUGAAUUGCAGAAUUCAGUGAAUCAUCGAAUCUUUGAACGCACAUUGCGCCCGCUGGUAUUCCGGCGGGCAUGCCCGUUCGAGCGUCAUUUUAAUUCCUUCCCAGAAGGGAGCUUCUGUUUCCACAGAGGUUUCCUCCAGGGGUGUUGGCUCCUGCCGCCGCCUAGGCGACCGGAGCCCAAAUGCAGUGGCGGACGCGCAAGCGGUCCCUAGCGCAGUAACAAAAACUUCGCUCAGGAGGCUCGCAGCAGUGGACCACAGCCUAACGCAAAAAGCUUUUUUUGCAACCAAAAACUUGACCUCGGAUUCGGGAGACUACCCGCUGA
RNAcentral lists this ribosomal RNA (646 nucleotides) under Sordariomycetes sp. Neg.3. Its description in RNAcentral is "partial 18S ribosomal RNA". The stretch from base 256 to 409 matches the Rfam family "5.8S ribosomal RNA". The record is from RNAcentral. Lineage: Eukaryota; Fungi; Ascomycota; Sordariomycetes.